CAGAGGGCGGUGGGCAUGGAACAGCUGCCCAGGGCAGUGGGACGGCCCGGAGUGCCAGAGCUCAGGGAGCAUUUGGACAGUGCUCUCAGACAUUGGGUUUGGACAUUGGGUGGUCCUGCAUGGAGCCAGCAGAUGGACUCAGGGAUCUUUAGUGCUCAUCUCAACCCUAUAAACUCCAGAUUCAUUUUUAGCAGGUUUGCAUGUGCACAUUACGAAUGAAGAGACGUAUCUGGUUUUGACUGAGAUGAAUUUCCUUGAUCUGCACCAAUUCAUCAGAAAUGCAGCAGAACGGAAAAGCCAGAACGCAAAACUGAGGAAGAAAAGGGAAGCAGGCGCCUUCCUCAGCGGGAAAAGGGAAAGUCCAGCCAAGUUCCCCCCACUGUGGUUUCCAGCACCGGUUGAAUGCAAAACAAACAAGUAUUGGAGUGAGAAAAGAGGGGAAAGCACAUAUUUCAUGUGAGAAAAAAAAAAAGGCUCAGUAUCCUCUGUGAAACCAAAGUGCUGGUUCCCAUUCUGUCACACAUUCCCAUUCUGUCACACAGCACCUCACUGCAGCAGCUCGCUCACAGCAGGUUGCAGCGCAGAAUUAAAAGACUCACAUUGUUUCCAAGGGUGCAUUUCCAACCUGGUUUGGCUGCAGCCAAAACCUCUGCAUGGAGAGGAUGGAUCCCCGCUUCAGAGGACGAGCUAUGGGAAACUCUCAUAUAUAUCUCGUAUAUCUCUCCAUAUAAGAAUGGUGACAUAAGAGGUGGAUUUAAACUGCUUAGCUCGAGUACAGCCGACACGGAUUAGUUACCCUCGGGUCCCGUCAAGCCCUGUCAAGCUUUGCAGCCUGCUCCGAGCUCCCUUAUUGAUGGGGAAAUGUAAAGAACAACAUACACAUCCCCUGUAUUCUCCGCUGGGCAGCUUUGAGACCGCUUGAAAUUGCACCGGAGCCUGGAAAAGAGGACAUCACUAUCACAGGCACUGUCUGCCCAGCUCGGGGCCAUUUCUAACCUGACCAGCGUGACCCAGCAUCUGAGCUGUCCCCAGGUUGGGAGCUGCUUCGGCAUGACUGCAGCAGCAUUUCAUAGCGGCCCUAAAGGGGCUUGCUAAUGAGGCGGGGUGGCAUUGUAUGCAGAGUGGCUAAAUAUCCGGUGGCUCAGAGAAAGAAGCUGAAAGCCCUGACUUGUCUUCUGUAAGGCUGAAUUCAUUCAAUUAAACAGCUUUGAGAGCUCAGAGAUGGCUUAGUGGGAAACUUUAUUACCUCCGAAAAAUCGGAGAGCAUUAAAACAAUUGCCAGGCAUGCAAAGCAAAGUUUGCAUUCACUCAUGCUAGGCGGCCAAAUUUACAUAUUCUAGACCAGGUCUGGAGCUUUAGAAAGCCUUCAUAAUUGCAUUAAACAUGCUUAUUCUCCAUGUUCUCUCAAGCAGAGCUGAUUACCUCAAGUUGGGCAGUGCCUGGAGGGAAAUUUGCUAAGCCACAUGAUGUAACAACUUGCACAGAAAUCUCAUUUCUUCCAAGGAAGUAGCAGUUUGGUUAUUCCCACAAAACACCUCUCAUGCCCAGUGGCCAGAUCGUUGGCUCGCCUUCUGCCUGCACUUGCUCAGCCUGAGCACUGCAGCAAGCACUGAGCUUUGCUCUGCAAGCUGGGAUCAAACAUGGAGAUGCUUGGAGAAGAUGCCCCGGUGCCUCCAGUCCACUCUGAAGAUGAAACCAAGGUUGUGCAGGCAGCAGAGCACUUUUGCCAGCAGCACGCUGACAGCCCAAGCUGAAGGGGGGGCAGGGAUGCACGGUGCCUGCUGGCUCGGGCCCCGCACAGCAGAUCCAGCUCCCUGCCACACAGUCAGCCUCUGGUGAGGGAACAGUUUCACCCCUGCAGACUGAGGAGGCCAGGAAAGGUUGCCUUGGGCAGAGCAAAGCAGUAAGCCUUGCCCAGCAUUACAGUGACAGCUGCAAGCACUUGGAGAAGUCCUCCCAAUGCUUGUGGAGUUCUGACCCAGGGAUGGGCAGUAGGAUCCAUCCCAAAGGAAACAUCUCAUGCCAAGAACAUGAGCGAGGAGCGUCCCAAGCUUUAUCCCAUCACCAGCCAAACCUCCUCUAGUAGAAAGCAAACCAAUGCCCCACUCUCCAGCACUCCUCUUCCUCUCACCUCAGCAUCAGGAAGGCAGCAUGAAAGCAGGAACAUCUUUGCAGAAGGAGAGGGAGGAUUCUUUUUUUUUCCUGCCCCCUUAUACAGGCUGAUAUGGUUAUGAAGGUAUGGGAAAGUCUCACUGCCCAAACAGGUGUCACUAUCCAAAACCUACAGUCUCAUUUCCUGAUCGUGUCUUAAUCUGCGAGUUGGUUGUGCAAGUUGAUUUCUUGCACAUUCUUAUAUCAGUGGGAAUUUCUGCCCUUCCCUGACAAGUAUUAUAGGCAGUCUUUGACAUACAGCCCUACAGGACCUAAAUAGGCUGCUAUUCUUUCCCUACACUGAAAGGGAGCUUUGUGCCAGGGAUUCAUUAAACUGCACUGCACAGCCCUUCAUAAAUGGGCUCAAUAAUGAACAGUCGAUUUAACUGGAAAAGCUGCUGGAGCUGUUAAAUUAAAGGGAAAUAAAGUGCACUUCAGGCUCAGUCUGCCAGAAGAAAAUGUUGACCUAAAAAAAUCUUCAUUUCACCGAAUCUCUGCAAACAGGAUAAAAUCUUCAGGAAGUUUAUGCUGACAACAGUCAGAGAAAUGUUAAGCCACAACAGUUUGCUUCCUUGCUAAUAAAACAAGCAAAACUGAUGAUAAAAUCUUCAGUAAAAUCAGAAGCGGGGCUGAAGGGCAUAUUCCACAGAAGCCAGACAGAGUGACUCUAUCUACCUAUAUUCAGUAUAUGUGCAUAGAUACAAGGUGCUGUGGCUUACCCAGUCCCUAUCUGCCUUAAAUCACUGCAUAUUAUAGAGGGUCUCGGCUUUCUAAGGUGCUAUUUCAUUCAAAUUAUCUUAGUAGCAGACAUGGGAAUGCAGACUUAGCACCCUGCAGAUGAAGCCCUGUUUCCCUCUUGCAGCCGCUGGAUUCCCUUGCCACAGCUUCCCCUUCCUGCUCUUCACCUUGCUGCAUUUUUCAUAUUCUUCUGGAAUAUAUUCCUCCCUGAAAACAGUGCAGGGAAAAUUCUGGUGAAGAAAAGGUUGCUUGCUUAGGCCUUCAUCCAAUUGACUUUAUGUAUCGAAGGCUUCCCCUGGAACCAAGCUCAAAAAUCUAUCAGUGAAUUUAUUUCCUGUUUGCUGCUAUUUGCUGAAAACUUUGGGAUUUUUCUGGUCCAAUCCCACAGAGCCCAGCUCUGGGAUCAUGUUAUGGGUGGUUUUGCCCAUGUGAGGAGUGCAGGACUCAGACAAAACAUGGCCCACGUGUUCUGGUCAUCCUGGAUGAUUAGAAUGGUCCAUCGUUCAGCUGGGCCUGACUCACCUCCUGGUUUUAUGGGUGGAAUUCCCUAUUUCAGUGAGGUUGCUGGGGUUGCUUGGUGGUGAAUCAGCUCUUCCAUCAGGGCCAUCUCAUCCUCCCUCACCUGAGCAAUCCUAGGUAUUGUUUCACAGCAGUGUUGCACACCUUAUUUAUGAUCUCACGCGAAGAGAGGUUGUGGAGAGUCUCCUUCUCUGGAGAUAAUCAAGACCCACCUGGAGGCUUCCCUGUGCAACCCACUGUAGGGAAGCAGGGAGUUGGACUGGAUGGUUUCUGAAGGUCCCUUCCAGCCCUUACAGUUCUGUGAUUCUGUGAUAAUUGUGAAGGUGAUAGAAGCAAGCUUUCAGGUCAUCACUGAAGUUACCUUUAGUAGAUUCAAUAUUUUUUCGUACAUCCUGAAAACAUGAGCAUUCGGGAAGAGAAUUAGCUACAAAGUAUCAGUCUUCUACCUAAAUUUUGCAUAAUUAUUCAUGGUCCCACACAGCACCUUCUGGCAGAGCCUCUCAGGGAGCCAUAAGGUCACCUACUGCCAGCAGGUGCUGUGUGGUUCUGGGGAGGAGAGAUGCUCCCUGAAGCUUACUUAAUAGGUGAGGAUUUAGGAAAUGAUGCAAAAAUAGUCUUCAUUUAUUUCCAAGUGGUCACUGAAACUGAAGGCACACUGUCAGUAAAGGCCAUUCCCGUUGAGUGUCAUUGAGUGAGUCAGUGAGAGUCCCAACCUCUUUGUCCUCCAUUUGGGAAUAACCAUGAAACUCCGUGCCAAAAUCUUCCUAUGAUGUAUGGCACCUUCUCUCUGUGUAGCUAUAAUCUAAGCAAAGCUUUUUCUUCCUCAGGGCUCAGCCCUUCUUCCCGCUCCAGCUUAAGACAAUGAUUCAACCACGCAGAUGAGUCCCUAAUUUGGAGGUGACCUCAGGUAUUUGAGCCCACGGCGAUGCUAUCGUACAUCUUUAGUCUUUUUUGUCUCUUAAGCAAACCUGGCACAGCCACAACUCAUCCAAUACAUGUGCAGAAAUGUAGCUACCUCCAGCACCUCUGGGGUUGCACUGUGUGCCGGGGCUCAGGGCUCAGGUACUGAAAUGGUGGCAGUGCCUACAGAAAACAUUCUUCUUUUCAGGUGUGUUAUAAUUGCUAUGAGAUAUCUGCAUUACUGGACCGCCUUUCUCACCCAGAAGGCCCCGGACCAUAAAUCAGCACAACACAAGCCAGCACGUAGUGUCAGCCACCUAAAUUAACCUCUGGAUUUCAAUGGGAUUAUUCUCAGGCUGGGGUUUGAGCAUAUCUUGCUGGACAGAAGUCUUCAUUCACAGCAGAAAGCAGUUAAAACCAUUUGGUGGUACAGAGCUACCUUUUGAAUGUUCAUAGUGUUCGUUAGUGUUUAAGACAGAAAUGGUAAUAUCUUAACUAUCUAUAAAUUACCCAGGUAAAUAGAUGAUAAAUCAUUAUAUACACGUACAUACCAAGAGUGAGAGCGUUCUCUGAUGUUUGCACACAGAUAAUACACACAGUCUGAAAAUACUGUAAAAAAAAGGAUUCGUUUGGAGAGCUGUAGCUGGCAAAAAUGUUACGUUUUGGUUACCAGCAAGGCUUUCUUAACCAGAUGUUUUCAGUCUUUUCUGAACAGAACCACUCACAGAUUGUCCCCUGAAUUAUUUCAUGUUUAGAAAUGGGGCCUUGUUAAAAGAGAGAGGGAGACAGAGAGAGAGAGAGAGAGUAGCACAAACUGCCAUUAUCAUGCAAAUCGCCCCAGAGGAAAAAGGACAGUGAAAAUGAUAGCACUGAUCUAAUUAUCUGCAGGCCAAUAUAGCUAAGUCACUGAAAGAGGCCCACAGAAAAGGCUGCCACAGAAACACAAAAAACAGCCAGAAAACAAUAAGGAACUUAGCAACAGUAUAAAAACGGACUUCUUUCUGCGCACAAAGAGUAGUUUUAUGAGCAUUUUUCUUGCUUUCAGUUUGCAGAAAAGGUUAGAGCACAUUUUAAAUUCUACAUCAGGGGUUUUUACCCCCCUCAGGCCCUGCAGACCCUCUGGCAUGCUGUCAUAUCUCUACGUGCCCAGUGCUGGGAACAUGGCUGCUCCCGCUUAGCGUGUCCAAACCGCCCCACGUAUGUCGGGGGUUCAUGUGGGGUGCCAGCCGGAUCUUGGCAGGGGCCUGGGUUUCCAUCGAGAUGUUCAGGCUUUUCCCUUUUUGCAUGUUGGUGCUGUUCUCGCUGGUCCUGAGGGGAUCCUUGCUGCAGGAUGGGGCGUCUGCCCAGGGAGGUGAUGGAAUCACCGUUGCUGGAGGUGUUUAAGAACUGUGGAGAUGUGGCGCUGAGGGAUGUGGUUUAGUGGGCAUGGUGGGGGUGGGCUGGGGUUGGACUUGGUGAUCUCAGGUGUCUUUUCCAACCGUAAUGAAUCUGUGAUUCUCUGAUUCUAUUCUAUGAUUUAUACACUGCCCGCCCUCCUCAAGCAACCCAUAAAAGGGCUUCAGUGCUCCCUCCAUGGAGAGCUGCAGGAGGACCCAGCUACUGCAGCCUGCACACAUGCACAGCCAUCCCUGAAGGCUUCAUCUGUCUCUGUCUCAGGCCCAGCUCCCAGCAUCACGUGCAGCCUCGUGGUGAAAAGACUGAGAAAACGCCCUGCAGACCCUUGUCCAUCUUCAUAGCCUUCCUUUGGACACUCUGUCAUAGUUUAUGUCCUUCUAAUAUCGUGGUGCCCAAACCUGAACCCAGCACUUGAGGGUGUCUUCUGGGUUCUGCCAAGGAGAGGACCCGAAGCUGCUGUAGCAGACAUGUCAUUCUUAAGGAUCUCUGAUGGAUAUCCCCCAAUGUCUCCUUCAGCUCUGGCUGACACAGUGGGAGCAGCACUCUGCCUUGAGGAUGAGCCUCAAAGAGAAGGAUGUUUAUCCACUGGGUAUUAGCUGAAGAUCAGACUUAAUUCCCUGCCUAGUGGGACAUUUCUUGCUCAGUGUUGGACCAAACCUUGGGGGCUCGAUCCCCUGGAGGUGCUGAAUCCCAGCCAGUUUCUGCUGUGGUUCAGGGAAUAUCACCUAAAUUCAGAGAUAAGCCUUGACAGUAGUGGUAUGCAGGACUGUGAGACUCAAAGGAGAACACGAUCCUGUAUCCAUCACCAGCACAGUGGCAUGGGAACAUCAUCCACGCUGUGCUCUUCCACCCCAAAACCUGGCUGCACAGAGAUCUCUGUGGGCAUGACAGGGGAGCUCAUCAUGUCCCCUCGCCAUGUCCCUGCCCCUGUGGCCAUUCAGUGUCACCUUGGCUGUGUGCAAAUCCACCUGCCAAAAGGGGCUGCUGUGGCUUGGCUUUCUCAGAAGCAUGGCAGACCUCAUAAUCUGAUGCUGAAACUGUCCUUUUUCGUUGUUGUUGCCACAAUAAUUUGCCCAACAGCAGUUGUAUGAAAGUGUAACUAGCUUAAGAAAGGUAAUUUUUUGUUGUUGGAAUGACCUGGAAGGAGGAAGACUUGAGGACUGGUAUUGUUGGACAUUAGGAAACAUUUCUUCUCAGACAGUGGUGAGGCAUUGGCCCAGGCUGCCCAGGGAGGUGAUGGAAUCACUGACUCUGGAGGUGUUCAAGAAUGUGGAGACGUGGCACUGAGGGACGUGG
Gallus gallus (chicken) is the source of this 6999-nucleotide long non-coding RNA. RefSeq lists it as uncharacterized. The record is from RefSeq and is a predicted model, not a curated record. The transcript is spliced from 3 exons. NCBI's taxonomy places the organism in Eukaryota, Metazoa, Chordata, Aves, Galliformes, Phasianidae.